GACGAACGCUGGCGGCGUGCUUAACACAUGCAAGUCGAACGGAAAGGCCCUGCUUGCAGGGUACUCGAGUGGCGAACGGGUGAGUAACAAGUGGGUGAUUUGCCCUGCACUACGGGUUAAGCCAGGGAAACUGGGCGUAAUACCGGAUAGGUGACAUUUUUAGCGUGAUGGUUGGAAAGUUUGUUCGGUGUAGGAUGAGCCCGCUGCAUAUAUGCUUGCUGGUGGGGUAAUGGCCUACCAACGCGGCGACGGGUAGCCGGCCUGUGGGGGUGGCCGGCCACACUGGCUCCGAGGGGCGGCCCAGGUACCGACGGGAGGGAGCUGUGGGGAAUCUUGCCGGAUCGGCGCCGGGCGGGUGCAGCGGCUCCGCGUGGGGGAUGACGGCGUUCGGGUUGUAGACUCCUUGCGCAAGGGACGAAGCUUUUUGUGACGGUACCUAGACAGGAAGCACCGGCUAACUACGUG
Molecule: ribosomal RNA, 465 nt
Filed under: uncultured bacterium
Lineage: Bacteria
Description: partial 16S ribosomal RNA
Rfam family: Bacterial small subunit ribosomal RNA
Source: RNAcentral